Papaver somniferum (opium poppy) is the source of this 415-nucleotide long non-coding RNA. RefSeq lists it as uncharacterized. The transcript has 4 exons. The record is from RefSeq and is a predicted model, not a curated record. Lineage: Eukaryota; Viridiplantae; Streptophyta; Magnoliopsida; Ranunculales; Papaveraceae.
AGACAAAAUGGCGUUAUCUUUUAACACAUGGAAGUAGAGAGAACUCAAUCACUCAUUCAGAACACCACCAAGCUGGUUGGAGAUUUCUUCUCCUGAGGUUGCUGUUGGAAUCCACAAAGACAAUAUUGAUCAUGUUCUAAAACAUAUCAUCUUAUGUCACGGCGUUGGUUUGCCCAUGCUUCUCCUACUCUUUUCAAUGCAAGGACACCAAGGCCUCAAUUGAGUAGAGGCUUCCAUGUGUGCAUGAUAGAGGACAAUAUUGAAGGAAUAUACGACACUUUGAAGGAGUGUGCUGUUAUUAGUAAAUCUGCUGGAGGAAUUGGAGUUUCUGUACACAACAUCGAUGCCACUAGUCUUAGCUUUGAAGGAUCUUUCUCUGGAUGGAACACUGGCUCCUGAAAUUUGUAAUCUUUUG